AAUUCUUCAGUAAAGAUGUAAGCAUGAUCCCACCAUGUAGCAGCAAACCUCUCAACAGUGUUUUUGAAGAAUUCUGGACAAAGGAAAGAAUUCAAUCAGAUCCUGGAAAAUGAAGCUGUCAAAUCACCUAUAGACAAUCCCUUUAUUGCCUUUUGAGUAAGUAUGUGUUGGAGUUACCAGGAUAAGAGAUUUGGAUUAUAUCUGUAUGUCCUGAUUAAUAAACCAUCAAGGCUUAUGACUGUAAUCCAAAAGAAAAAUAAACUGCAUUAUUUGUUAAAUCUC
Protopterus annectens (West African lungfish) is the source of this 282-nucleotide long non-coding RNA. RefSeq lists it as uncharacterized. The transcript is spliced from 2 exons. The record is from RefSeq and is a predicted model, not a curated record. NCBI's taxonomy places the organism in Eukaryota, Metazoa, Chordata, Ceratodontiformes, Protopteridae.